RNAcentral lists this ribosomal RNA (745 nucleotides) under uncultured bacterium. RNAcentral's name for it is "bacterial SSU rRNA". It matches the Rfam family "Bacterial small subunit ribosomal RNA", at positions 33 to 773 of the family's 1533-position model. The record is from RNAcentral.
ACGCUGGCGGCAGGCCUAACACAUGCAAGUCGAGCGGUAGAGAGAAGCUUGCUUCUCUUGAGAGCGGCGGACGGGUGAGUAAUGCCUAGGAAUCUGCCUGGUAGUGGGGGAUAACGUUCGGAAACGGACGCUAAUACCGCAUACGUCCUACGGGAGAAAGCAGGGGACCUUCGGGCCUUGCGCUAUCAGAUGAGCCUAGGUCGGAUUAGCUAGUUGGUGGGGUAAUGGCUCACCAAGGCGACGAUCCGUAACUGGUCUGAGAGGAUGAUCAGUCACACUGGAACUGAGACACGGUCCAGACUCCUACGGGAGGCAGCAGUGGGGAAUAUUGGACAAUGGGCGAAAGCCUGAUCCAGCCAUGCCGCGUGUGUGAAGAAGGUCUUCGGAUUGUAAAGCACUUUAAGUUGGGAGGAAGGGUUGUAGAUUAAUACUCUGCAAUUUUGACGUUACCGACAGAAUAAGCACCGGCUAACUCUGUGCCAGCAGCCGCGGUAAUACAGAGGGUGCAAGCGUUAAUCGGAAUUACUGGGCGUAAAGCGCGCGUAGGUGGUUAGUUAAGUUGGAUGUGAAAUCCCCGGGCUCAACCUGGGAACUGCAUUCAAAACUGACUGACUAGAGUAUGGUAGAGGGUGGUGGAAUUUCCUGUGUAGCGGUGAAAUGCGUAGAUAUAGGAAGGGACACCAGUGGCGAAGGCGACCACCUGGACUGAUACUGACACUGAGGUGCGAAAGCGUGGGGAGCAAAC